GUGCAGAUCUAAAAUUUGGCAAAUGCCAUCUCUACCUCACAGGAGGGUCAUUCAAAAAAUAGGAAUAAAGGCUAAGUAGAAAACGAGAUGUGUCCGGAAAAAACUGCCGCAGGCAUUGAGAGUCUGGGCAAGACAGCGGGACAAAGCAAUAGACAUUCAUUUUUUGGAUAACGUAAGAAGACUGUUGUUUGAUCAGUUGUAGCAAAACAGAAUGGAGUCCUUCAGAUUUUUGCUAUGACAGAAUGACAUACUCUUCAUUCAGCCACUCAAGCAAAAGAAUGACUGACGAUCCAGUGAAGGUCAAAUAGUUUUCCAGCCAGUUGAUGCUGCUUCACACAGACUUAACCCUCUUUACCCAGAAAGACUGGGCCAAAAUUUUGGCUCUGAAGACCCUAGAAGCUGUCCCUCCAGAGAAAACCUCCUCUUACUUCCUCUGUCCCUAAAAAAUACAGUUCAUGAGAAGUUUCCAGUAGGUGGAUCCGUUUCUCAGAAGGUUCCACCCUUUUCCUUGUAUGCAGUUAAAACAUCUUGUGACUUUCAUUCUACUUUGCUGGAGUUCUCCUGGUCUCGCCUCCUUGUUGGGCUCUGGCUUUAUUUCUCAUCAAUGUCAGUGUGCCUCAGGGAAUUAGUUUUUCUCUUUCCCUGAAUGAACAAAUGCUUUCCCUAAAUGAAAUCUGGAAAUAUAUGACCUUUCUAACAAAGUCAUAAGGGAGGACUCUCCAGGAGGCAGGAGUAUUUACAUAAAACAAAAUCUCAGAGGGACUGGCGAGUCCUUCAGUUUGAAACUUUAUUAGCAGGAUAGAGAUUUUUGCCUCUAACCUCUGAUGCUUCA
Molecule: long non-coding RNA, 832 nt
Filed under: Homo sapiens (human)
Lineage: Eukaryota; Metazoa; Chordata; Mammalia; Primates; Hominidae
Description: HSALNT0393998
Source: RNAcentral